GACGAACGCUGGCGGCGUGCCUAACACAUGCAAGUCGAACGGUAAGGCCCUUCGGGGUACACGAGUGGCGAACGGGUGAGUAACACGUGGGUGAUCUGCCCUGCACUUCGGGAUAAGCCUGGGAAACUGGGUCUAAUACCGGAUAGGACUCCGGACUGCAUGGGCUGGGGUGGAAAGCUUUUGCGGUGUGGGAUGGGCCCGCGGCCUAUCAGCUUGGUGGGGGGGUGAUGGCCUACGAAGGCGACGACGGGUAGCCGGCCUGAGAGGGUGACCGGCCACACUGGGACUGGGAUACGGCCCAGACUCCUACGGGAGGCAGCAGUGGGGAAUAUUGCACAAUGGGCGCAAGCCUGAUGCAGCGACGCCGCGUGAGGGAUGACGGCCUUCGGGUUGUAAACCUCUUUCAGCACCGACGAAGCGCAAGUGACGGUAGGUGCAGAAGAAGGACCGGCCAACUACGUGCCAGCAGCCGCCGUAA
This 478-nucleotide ribosomal RNA is filed under the name uncultured bacterium. Its description in RNAcentral is "partial 16S ribosomal RNA". It matches the Rfam family "Bacterial small subunit ribosomal RNA", at positions 28 to 523 of the family's 1533-position model. The record is from RNAcentral.